RNAcentral lists this ribosomal RNA (1391 nucleotides) under uncultured bacterium. Its description in RNAcentral is "16S ribosomal RNA". It matches the Rfam family "Bacterial small subunit ribosomal RNA", at positions 136 to 1501 of the family's 1533-position model. The record is from RNAcentral.
GUGGGGAACAACUUCGAGAAAUCGGAGCUAAUACCGCAUAAUAAUAGAGGAUCGCAUGAUUCUUUAAGGAAAGAUGGCCUCUGAAGAUGCUAUCGCAAAAGGAUGGACCCGCGUCUGAUUAGCUAGUUGGAAGGGUAACGGCCUACCAAGGCAACGAUCAGUAGCCGGCCUGAGAGGGUGAACGGCCACAUUGGGACUGAGACACGGCCCAAACUCCUACGGGAGGCAGCAGUGGGGAAUCUUCCGCAAUGGGCGAAAGCCUGACGGAGCAAUGCCGCGUGAGUGAAGAAGGCCUUCGGGUUGUAAAACUCUGUCCUUAUCGAAGAGAGGUAGGUAUGUGAAUAAUGUACCUAUAGGACGGUAGAUAAGGAGGAAGCCCCGGCUAACUACGUGCCAGCAGCCGCGGUAAUACGUAGGGGGCGAGCGUUGUCCGGAAUCACUGGGCGUAAAGGGCGCGUAGGCGGUUUAAUAAGUCAGUGGUGAAAACUGAGGGCUCAACCCUCAGCCUGCCACUGAUACUGUUAGACUUGAGUAUGGAAGAGGAGAAUGGAAUUCCUAGUGUAGCGGUGAAAUGCGUAGAUAUUAGGAGGAACACCAGUGGCGAAGGCGAUUCUCUGGGCCAAGACUGACGCUGAGGCGCGAAAGCGUGGGGAGCAAACAGGAUUAGAUACCCUGGUAGUCCACGCCGUAAACGAUGGAUACUAGGUGUUAGUAGUUUCGAUGCUACUAGUGCCGGAGUAAACACAAUAAGUAUCCCGCCUGGGGAGUACGGUCGCAAGACUGAAACUCAAAGGAAUUGACGGGGGCCCGCACAAGCGGUGGAGCAUGUGGUUUAAUUCGACGCAACGCGAAGAACCUUACCAAGACUUGACAUCCUCCUGACAAGAUAUGUAAUGUAUCUCUUUUCUUCGGAGACAGGAGAGACAGGUGGUGCAUGGUUGUCGUCAGCUCGUGUCGUGAGAUGUUGGGUUAAGUCCCGCAACGAGCGCAACCCUUAUUUCUAGUUGCCAGCAGUAAGAUGGGGACUCUAGAGAGACUGCCAGUGACAAACUGGAGGAAGGUGGGGAUGACGUCAAAUCAUCAUGCCCCUUAUGUCUUGGGCUACACACGUGCUACAAUGGUCAGAACAGAGGGAAGCGAAGCCGCGAGGUGGAGCAAAUCCCAGAAAACUGAUCUCAGUUCGGAUUGCAGGCUGCAACCCGCCUGCAUGAAGUCGGAAUCGCUAGUAAUCGCGGGUCAGCAUACCGCGGUGAAUACGUUCCCGGGCCUUGUACACACCGCCCGUCACACCACGAAAGUUAGUAACACCCGAAGCCGGUGGCCUAACCCGCAAGGGAGGGAGCUGUCGAAGGUGGGACUGAUGAUUGGGGUGAAGUCGUAACAAGGUACCC